Molecule: ribosomal RNA, 253 nt
Filed under: uncultured bacterium
Lineage: Bacteria
Description: partial 16S ribosomal RNA
Rfam family: Bacterial small subunit ribosomal RNA
Source: RNAcentral
UACAGAGGUCCCAAGCGUUGUUCGGAUUCACUGGGCGUAAAGGGUGCGUAGGCGGUCGGGUAAGUCUGACGUGAAAUCUCCAAGCUCAACUUGGAAAUGGCGUCGGAUACUAUUCGGCUUGAGGAGUGGAGGGGAGACUGGAAUUCUCGGUGUAGCAGUGAAAUGCGUAGAUAUCGAGAGGAACACCAGUGGCGAAGGCGAGUCCCUGGACAACUCCUGACACUGAGGCACGAAAGCUAGGGGAGCAAACAGG